AUUGAACGCUGGCGGCAUGCCUUACACAUGCAAGUCGAACGGUAACAGGUCUUCAGUUGCUGACGAGUGGCGAACGGGUGAGUAAUACAUCGGAACGUGCCCGAUCGUGGGGGAUAACGAGGCGAAAGCUUUGCUAAUACCGCAUACGAUCUACGGAUGACAGCGGGGGAUCUUCGGACCUCGCGCGGACGGAGCGGCCGAUGGCAGAUUAGGUAGUUGGUGGGAUAAAAGCUUACCAAGCCGACGAUCUGUAGCUGGUCUGAGAGGAUGAUCAGCCACACUGGAACUGAGACACGGCCCAGACUCCUACGGGAGGCAGCAGUGGGGAAUUUUGGACAAUAGGCGAAAGCCUGAUCCAGCCAUGCCGCGUGCAGGAUGAAGGCCUUCGGGUUGUAAACUGCUUUUGUACGGAACGAAAAGCCUCUUUCUAAUAAAGAGGGGUCAUGACGGUACCGUAAGAAUAAGCACCGGCUAACUACGUG
Molecule: ribosomal RNA, 482 nt
Filed under: uncultured bacterium
Lineage: Bacteria
Description: partial 16S ribosomal RNA
Rfam family: Bacterial small subunit ribosomal RNA
Source: RNAcentral